AUUGAACGCUGGCGGAAUGCUUUACACAUGCAAGUCGAACGGUAGAGGGGGCAACCCCUUGAGAGUGGCGAACGGGUGAGUAAUACAUCGGAACAUGCCCAGUCGUGGGGGAUAACGUAGCGAAAGCUACGCUAAUACCGCAUACGAUCUAUGGAUGAAAGCGGGGGACCGAAAGGCCUCGCGCGAUUGGAGUGGCCGGUGGCAGAUUGGGUAGUUGGUGGGGUAAAGGCCUACCAAGCCUGCGAUCUGUAGCUGGUCUGAGAGGACGACCAGCCACACUGGGACUGAGACACGGCCCAGACUCCUACGGGAGGCAGCAGUGGGGAAUUUUGGACAAUGGGCGCAAGCCUGAUUCAGCCAUUCCGCGUGCAGGAUGAAGGCCCUCGGGUUGUAAACUGCUUUUGUGCGGAACGAAAAGGUGGCCUCUAAUACAGGUUGCUGAUGACGGUACCGUAAGAAUAAGCACCGGCUAACUACGUGCCAGCAGCCGCGGUAA
This 496-nucleotide ribosomal RNA is filed under the name uncultured bacterium. RNAcentral's name for it is "partial 16S ribosomal RNA". It matches the Rfam family "Bacterial small subunit ribosomal RNA", at positions 30 to 523 of the family's 1533-position model. The record is from RNAcentral.